Molecule: ribosomal RNA, 253 nt
Filed under: uncultured bacterium
Lineage: Bacteria
Description: partial 16S ribosomal RNA
Rfam family: Bacterial small subunit ribosomal RNA
Source: RNAcentral
UACAGAGGGGGCAAGCGUUGUUCGGAAUUACUGGGCGUAAAGGGCGCGUAGGUGGCCUGUUAAGUCGAACGUGAAAUCCCCGGGCUCAACCCGGGAACUGCGUCCGAGACUGGCAGGCUUGAAUCCGGGAGAGGGAUGUGGAAUUCCAGGUGUAGCGGUGAAAUGCGUAGAUAUCUGGAGGAACACCGGUGGCGAAGGCGGCAUCCUGGACCGGUAUUGACGCUGAGGCGCGAAAGCCAGGGGAGCAAACGGG